RNAcentral lists this ribosomal RNA (383 nucleotides) under uncultured eukaryote. RNAcentral's name for it is "partial 18S ribosomal RNA". It matches the Rfam family "Eukaryotic small subunit ribosomal RNA", at positions 592 to 976 of the family's 1831-position model. The record is from RNAcentral.
CAAUAGCGUAUAUUAAAGUUGUUGCGGUUAAAAAGCUCGUAGUUGGAUCUCGGCAGGCAGGGGGUGGUUCGCUCUUAGCGCUACUGCCCCAUUUGCCUGUGUGAUUGGCGGAGGUUUCGGGGUGCUCUUCGUUGAGUGACCCGGGGCGCCGUCAGGUUUACUUUGAAAAAAUUAGAGUACUCGAAGCAGGCUUUUCACGCUUGAAUAUUCGUGCAUGGAAUAAUGGAAUAGGAACUCGUUUCUAUUUUGUUGGUUUUCGGAAAUCGAGUUAAUGAUUAAUAGGGACAAUUGGGGGCAUUAGUAUUCAGACGACAGAGGUGAAAUUCUUGGACCGUCUGAAGACUAACUACUGCGAAAGCAUUUGCCAAGAGUGUUUUCAUUAA